UUCUGUAUUUUUGAUCAAAUAAAUGCUGGCUUGAUUAGCAUUUUGCGGAAAGAGUAAAAAAAAUGUGUUGUAAUAUACUGUUUCAAUAUCUUAGAGAAACCAAUUUAAGUGGAAGGAUAUAGUUUUUUUUAAACAAUGCUUACACACAACAUUCUGGUCCACACUCACACCAGAUGGUGGCGGUAAUGCACCAAAAAGUUGUUUGCCAACCGCCAAUAAACCUUAAUAGAAGAAGAAGACAUCAAGAAGAUCGAGGCAGACGGACUGCACGCUGUUAAAACUUCACCGAGAUCGGUGUUGGACCGGCGAACACUUUAGGCCUAUGUUAUCAGAGGACUUGCUAACAUGAAGAAAACGGUCCAGAGGUUCCACCUGAGAGCCGGGACUGUCGAAUAGUAAGAGACAACGAAAAGGGGGGAACUGUCUUUAAGCUGUGGAGUCAGAUGGAGGGCUCGCAUUUACCUCAAAACGGCAUUGCAGAAGACUCGAACAACUAGAACCAACUCAAGCACACAACGGUGACACACAUUUGUAAGACCUUUCCCUGUGAUAUAAAAUUUCCCUGUGGUAAUUAUUCAGAUUCUUCUCAUUCUCAUUGUGUAGCACUGUUUUAAGCUUAGUGAAUAUUAUGUACAGUAAGCACUAGAAGUAGAGACUUGUACUACUUGGGGUAGUUUUAAAUUAACUUUAAUUUUGCUUUUGAUGCAAAAAUUAUCAAAAGAAAAGAUGUAGUGUAGUAAUUCAAUUGUUUUAAUAUGAAUAUUGUUUUAGUAGUGUUCAGGACAGUAAUUGUCUGUACAUCUAAAUCAGUUCUUUAAACUUUUUGUUGUCUAAGACCUUGAUAUUAUACCUUAAGGGAAAAAGAAAGAUAUUUAAUUAUGUAUUAUGUACCCAGACAGCAAGGAGUGUCGGACCAGAUCCAGCCCACAUCUGGCCCGUGUGAAAUCCAUGCGGGCCAGUUGUGGGCCGGAUCUGGGCUGACACUCCUUGCUGUCUGGGUAAGAUGCUUGUAAUCAUUGCUUUUAAAGGUAUUUAUCAUUUCUACUUAAAUAGUCAUUAUCUACUUGUAUGAUUUGUAUUAUCUGGGAACUGUACAAAUACUGUGGCAUAUGGACAUUACUCUUUUUAUUUGUAACUUUUAAAUGCAAUACUCUUUUUAAAUGCAUUUUCUGUAAAGCUGCAUUGGAAUAUGUAUUGUGAAAAGCACUGUACAAAUAAACAAAUUGUGUUUGAAUUCUA
Onychostoma macrolepis is the source of this 1239-nucleotide long non-coding RNA. RefSeq lists it as uncharacterized. NCBI's taxonomy places the organism in Eukaryota, Metazoa, Chordata, Actinopteri, Cypriniformes, Cyprinidae. The record is from RefSeq and is a predicted model, not a curated record. The transcript has 4 exons.